UACGUAGGGUGCAAGCGUUAAUCGGAAUUACUGGGUGUAAAGCGUGCGCAGGCGGUGAUGUAAGACAGGUGUGAAAUCCCCGGGCUUAACCUGGGAACUGCAUUUGUGACUGCAUCGCUGGAGUGCGGCAGAGGGGGAUGGAAUUCCGCGUGUAGCAGUGAAAUGCGUAGAUAUGCGGAGGAACACCGAUGGCGAAGGCAAUCCCCUGGGCCUGCACUGACGCUCAUGCACGAAAGCGUGGGGAGCAACAGG
Molecule: ribosomal RNA, 252 nt
Filed under: uncultured bacterium
Lineage: Bacteria
Description: partial 16S ribosomal RNA
Rfam family: Bacterial small subunit ribosomal RNA
Source: RNAcentral